Hevea brasiliensis (rubber tree) is the source of this 860-nucleotide long non-coding RNA. RefSeq lists it as uncharacterized. NCBI's taxonomy places the organism in Eukaryota, Viridiplantae, Streptophyta, Magnoliopsida, Malpighiales, Euphorbiaceae. The record is from RefSeq and is a predicted model, not a curated record. The transcript has 2 exons.
ACUACAUAAUUUAAAUAGUCUUCUUCUUUUAUCAACCCAUUUUCUCUCACUGUUUUACCACCCAUUUGUCUACUGCAAUUAUCUUCUCCGUCUCAAAUUUCUCUCAACAUCUCAUACUCAUCUUUCUCUUCCCCUAAACAACCAUCGAAACUUAUUUCUCCCUUUGGCGUGCCAUUAUCUCCUUUGCAUUUCUUGGGUUCGCCAUCAUCACGUUGUUGUCGAUCGGUCGAUUGGCAUUUCAACACCACCGUUUGGGUCCCUACCAGCAUUACACCUUGUUGUUGACCAAGCUAGCCAUUGGUUUGAAAACUCGAAUGCCGUCCCAAACGUAACCAAUCUUCUUGGUCCAUUUCAAUGCUAGUUUGGAUAUGAUGUGGUAAGACCAGGUAAGGCCUAAUAAGCUCCUGGCUCACUAUUUAUGAUAAAUGAAGUCCUGAGGAGCAUGUUUAUGAGCCGGACACAUUGGUUAUGUUAUGUAUUAAGAGGAAGUCCUGAGGAACAUCUUUAUGAGUCGAGCAAAGUGGUUACGAAAAAUCAUUGGUGACAAGUCUAUCUUAUGUGAAUUGUUUGUGUUGUAUAAACUCAUGUGAUUGAUGCAUUGCAUAUGUAUGAAUUGAAUUAUAUGAAAAAUGAAUAUUUGCUAGUUUGCUUACUAAGCUUCCCAAAGCUUACCCCUUGCCCUUAAACCUAGGCGCGGAAUAGUAGGAAUAAAAGAAUUUGUGGAGAAGAUUUUGCAGUGGUUUAGCACUAUUAAAGUAUGUUAUAAAGUUUUCUUGGACAUGUAAAAUAACACUUUAGUAUUGUGCUUUGGCUGUAGAUUGUUGCGAGUUAUGUAAUGUAAAAGGUAUGUAUGAACUUUA